Molecule: small RNA, 4487 nt
Filed under: Pan troglodytes (chimpanzee)
Lineage: Eukaryota; Metazoa; Chordata; Mammalia; Primates; Hominidae
Description: retained intron
Source: RNAcentral
GCAGUAUGGUUUGAAGUGGUGAACAUGGAUUUUUCUCGGCUUCACAUGUACAGUCCUCCCCAGUGUGUGCCGGAGAACACGGGCUACACGUAUGCGCUCAGUUCCAGCUAUUCUUCAGAUGCUCUGGAUUUUGAGACGGAGCACAAAUUGGACCCUGUAUUUGAUUCUCCACGGAUGUCCCGCCGUAGUUUGCGCCUGGCCACGACAGCAUGCACCCUGGGGGAUGGUGAGGCUGUGGGUGCCAACAGCGGCACCAGCAGCGCUGUCUCCCUGAAGAACCGAGCGGCCAGAACAGCAAAACAGCGCAGAAGCACAAACAAAUCAGCUUUUAGUAUCAACCACGUGUCAAGGCAGGUCACAUCCUCUGGCGUCAGCCAUGGCGGCACUGUCAGCCUGCAGGAUGCUGUGACUCGACGGCCUCCUGUAUUGGACGAGUCUUGGAUUCGUGAACAGACUACAGUGGACCACUUCUGGGGUCUUGAUGAUGAUGGUGAUCUUAAAGGUGGAAAUAAAGCUGCCAUUCAGGGAAACGGGGAUGUGGGAGCCGCCGCCGCCGCCUCCGCGCACAACGGCUUCUCCUGCAGCAACUGCAGCAUGCUGUCCGAGCGCAAGGACGUGCUCACGGCGCACCCCGCGGCCCCCGGGCCCGUGUCGAGAGUUUAUUCUAGGGACAGGAAUCAAAAAUGCGGUGCGUCUUUCUACGUGAAUAGGAUUUUGUGGCUGGCCAGAUACACUGCGUCAUCUUUUUCAUCAUUUUUAGUUCAACUUUUUCAAGUGGUUUUAAUGAAGCUCAGUUAUGAAUCAGAAAAUUACAAAUUGAAAACUCAUGAAUCAAAAGAUUGUGAAUCCGAAAGCUAUAAGUCAAAAAGCCAUGAAUCAAAAGCUCAUGCCAGUUACUAUGGGAGAAUGAAUGUGAGAGAGGUUCUCAGAGAGGAUGGCCACCUCAGUGUAAAUGGGGAAGCGCUGUGCGACGACUGUAAGGGCAAGAGGCACCUCGACGCGCACACAGCCGCCCACUCGCAGUCGCCACGGCCGCCCGGUCGGGCAGGGACCCUCUGGCACAUCUGGGCAUGUGCAGGUUACUUCUUGCUGCAGAUUCUGCGCAGGAUCGGAGCUGCGGGCCAGGCCGUGUCCAGGACGGCGUGGUCGGCCCUUUGGCUGGCCGUGGUUGCUCCAGGGAAGGCAGCCUCUGGAGUGUUCUGGUGGCUGGGGAUUGGAUGGUACCAGUUUGUUACUUUGAUUUCUUGGCUGAAUGUGUUUCUUCUUACCAGGUGCCUUCGAAACAUCUGCAAGUUUUUAGUCUUGCUCAUCCCACUCUUCCUUUUACUAGGUAAGUCAAAUCUGGCUGAGUUGCCUCCGAUGGCUAAGCGGUACACACAUACGUGUAACUUAGUGGAAACAAAUGAGCGUGUAAGUCCGUGUUUUGAGAAGCGUGGUGUACCCGUGUGUGUGUGGUGGUUCUUCUCUUUUAGCAGGUCUCUCCUUACGGGGCCAGGGCAAUUUCUUUUCGUUCUUGCCCGUGUUGAACUGGGCAAGCAUGCAUAGAACACAGCGGGUGGAUGACCCCCAGGACGUGUUUAAACCCACGACUUCUCGCCUGAAGCAGCCUCUGCAGGGUGACAGUGAGGCUCUUCCAUGGCAUUGGAUGAGUGGCGUGGAGCAGCAGGUGGCCUCUCUGUCUGGACAGUGCCACCACCAUGGCGAGAAUCUCCGAGAGCUGACCGCUUUGCUUCAGAAGCUGCAGGCUCGGGUGGACCAGAUGGACGGCGGCGCUGCCGGGCCGUCAGCAUCGGUCAGAGACGCUGUGGGACAGCCCCCGAGGGAGACUGACUUUAUGGCUUUUCACCAAGAACAUGAAGUGCGUAUCUCACACUUGGAAGAUAUUCUGGGAAAACUGAGAGAAAAAUCUGAGGCCAUCCAGAAGGAACUAGAACAGACCAAGCAAAAAACAAUCAGUGCGGUUGGUGAGCAGCUCCUGCCCACGGUCGAGCACCUCCAGCUGGAGUUGGAUCAGCUAAAGUCAGAGCUGUCCAGCUGGCGACACUUGAAGACCGGCUGUGAGACAGUGGAUGCCGUACAAGAAAGAGUGGACGUGCAAGUCAGAGAAAUGGUGAAACUCCUGUUUUCCGAAGAUCAGCAAGGCGGUUCUCUGGAACAGCUGCUGCAGAGGUUCUCAUCACAGUUUGUGAGCAAAGGCGACUUGCACACGAUGCUGCGAGACCUGCAGCUGCAGAUCCUGCGGAACGUCACCCACCACGUUUCCGUGACCAAGCGGCUCCCAACCUCAGAAGCCGUGGUGUCUGCUGUGAGCGAGGCGGGGGCGUCUGGAAUAACAGAGGCGCAAGCACGUGCCAUCGUGAACAACGCGUUGAAGCUGUAUUCCCAAGAUAAGACCGGGAUGGUGGACUUUGCUCUGGAAUCUGGUGGUGGCAGCAUCUUGAGUACUCGCUGUUCUGAAACUUACGAAACCAAAACGGCGCUGAUGAGUCUGUUUGGGAUCCCGCUGUGGUACUUCUCGCAGUCCCCGCGCGUGGUCAUCCAGCCUGACAUUUACCCCGGUAACUGCUGGGCAUUUAAAGGCUCCCAGGGGUACCUGGUGGUGAGGCUCUCCAUGAUGAUCCACCCAGCCGCCUUCACUCUGGAGCACAUCCCUAAGACGCUGUCGCCAACAGGCAACAUCAGCAGCGCCCCCAAGGACUUCGCCGUCUAUGGAUUAGAAAAUGAGUAUCAGGAAGAAGGGCAGCUUCUGGGACAGUUCACGUAUGAUCAGGAUGGGGAGUCGCUCCAGAUGUUCCAGGCCCUGAAAAGACCCGACGACACAGCUUUCCAAAUAGUGGAACUUCGGAUUUUUUCUAACUGGGGCCAUCCUGAGUAUACCUGUCUGUAUCGGUUCAGAGUUCAUGGCGAACCUGUCAAGUGAAGACACUACUCAUUAUUUUUGUACAUUUUUGUAUAUACUGGGACAGCCUGAAACACUGGAAUCCUUCAUGGACGAGGGCAUAUACAAUGAUGGGACAGUGCCACACUCCUUCAAUAAACGUGGCUGCUGGCCAGAGGACGUGAGCGUGUGAUGGGCGCCUUGGCACCACCUGUUGGGUGCUCACUGCCUCUGCAGGUGCAGAGGGGUCAGCAGCAGGAGAAGCGUGUUGAACACGUGGCUCUCAGACACUCCUUGUUUUUAACGGGAAGCUCUUUGCAUUUGCAUUUCCUCGACAAAGGAGCAAAGCAGAGGAAGCUGAGAGUCUGGCGUGUUCUUGAUGCUUUGGUCUUCAGCCUUGCACUGGCUCUUCUAAAGGACUUUUGGAGGGCAGAUAAUUUCAUCUGUUAAAUCCAACACACAUUUCUUUCAGGGAAAAACAAUGUCACCAAAUUUUCAGAGUUCUAAACUCCUUUCCUUCAAGCCGGGAUUUUCCUUUUUUCAGCACCAGUAGGUACUAAGUCUCCAGACGGGGAAAUAACUAAAAUGUGUUUUUCUGCUUUGUUCGCUCUUACUUCUGAGGAAGGUUUCCAGUCAGGACUCGCUGUACCAAUAUCCGUGGAGGAAUAUGGGAGCGUUUUGCUCUCCUUGUAGGCUGAAGUCAGUCUGACUUGAAGGGGGCUGGUUUGGAUCUAAGCAAACACCCAGAUGGGGUUCUCUGGUCUCAGCAAGGCUUUUCCUGUUGGGAGUCACAGUAAACAGAAACCCAAAAAUCUCAUCUUGGGUGUUUUCAGGGCUCGUUUUGAGUUUUGCUGAAUAAGGAGCGCAAGACGCCCUGAGCCUCCCUCUCACUGGUGGUGAUAAGAGGAGCCGUCUGGUGUGUCAGGGUCACGAACCUGUUACAUUUCAGGACGAUCCUUUUUCCUUCAGCAGCAUUUCUUACUGGCUGUGGCUGGACUCUGCCUUUUAUCACAGCUGUCACCAUUCUCACGUGAUUCUUGUGAGACUCUUUGGUUAUAAUUACUAUUUAAUAUUUAGACUAUUUUACUGAGCAGACUUUAUAAUAAAUGAGAUAUCUACAAGGCACUUAAAGUGUUACAGAUGUUUUACCUUAAGAAUUAUUUAAGUUGUGUUAAGACAGUUUUCAGUGUACCGUAAAUGUUGUGUUUUCAGAAAAAGACAAAACGAUGGUGCUGACUGGUUUUCUGUAUAUUGCACAACAGUCCUCAAAUACACUGAUGUAUGAAACUAUUCAUACAUCAAGCAGCAUUUUUUUCACUCUCCUUAGAAUUGGAACUAUGCAGUUAAGGCAGAUAAAAUGUACAGAUGUUUCAUAUAUUACAGGUUACAUAUAUAAAUCAAAAUUUCCUAUAUAAAACUGAUUUGGGAUUUGGGGUGGAAAUAUUUUGAAUAUUAAUUUAUUUUUAAAGAUGCAAGAUAGGACUUUGUGCAAUGUAUUUUUGUAAAUGCUUUUCAAAAUAUCUGUCUUUGGUAGUGCUUCUUCUGCUGCCACCAAAUUGAUAAGAUGCUAUUAAGAGGUUUAAAUAAAGAGUUUUAAUUUUUAAAAGUG